CAAUUACUCCCUUCGUUCGGAAUUACUUGUCUCGGCAAUGGAUGUAUCUAAAACUAAAAUACGUCUAGAUACAUCCAUUUUCGCGACGAGUAAUUCCGAACAGAGGGAGUACGUG
Molecule: non-coding RNA, 115 nt
Organism: Triticum aestivum (bread wheat)
Lineage: Eukaryota; Viridiplantae; Streptophyta; Magnoliopsida; Poales; Poaceae
Source: Rfam